CCUACGGAGGCUGCAGUGGGGAAUAUUGGACAAUGGGCGAAAGCCUGAUCCAGCCAUGCCGCGUGUGUGAAGAAGGCCUUCGGGUUGUAAAGCACUUUCAGUGGGGAAGAAAGCCUUGGGGCUAAUACCCUCGAGGAAGGACAUCACCCACAGAAGAAGCACCGGCUAACUCCGUGCCAGCAGCCGCGGUAAUACGGAGGGUGCGAGCGUUAAUCGGAAUUACUGGGCGUAAAGCGCGCGUAGGCGGUCUGAUAAGCCGGUUGUGAAAGCCCCGGGCUCAACCUGGGAACGGCAUCCGGAACUGUCAGGCUAGAGUGCAGGAGAGGAAGGUAGAAUUCCCGGUGUAGCGGUGAAAUGCGUAGAGAUCGGGAGGAAUACCAGUGGCGAAGGCGGCCUUCUGGACUGACACUGACGCUGAGGUGCGAAAGCGUGGGUAGCAAACAGGAUUAGAUACCCGUGUAGUC
Molecule: ribosomal RNA, 464 nt
Filed under: Vreelandella stevensii
Lineage: Bacteria; Pseudomonadati; Pseudomonadota; Gammaproteobacteria; Oceanospirillales; Halomonadaceae
Description: partial 16S ribosomal RNA
Rfam family: Bacterial small subunit ribosomal RNA
Source: RNAcentral